This 478-nucleotide ribosomal RNA is filed under the name uncultured bacterium. Its description in RNAcentral is "partial 16S ribosomal RNA". It matches the Rfam family "Bacterial small subunit ribosomal RNA", at positions 28 to 523 of the family's 1533-position model. The record is from RNAcentral.
GACGAACGCUGGCGGCGUGCUUAACACAUGCAAGUCGAACGGUAAGGCCCUUCGGGGUACACGAGUGGCGAACGGGUGAGUAACACGUGGGUGAUCUGCCCUGCACUUCGGGAUAAGCCUGGGAAACUGGGUCUAAUACCGGAUAGGACCACUGCAUGCAUGGGUGGCGGUGGAAAGCUUUUGCGGUGUGGGAUGGGCCCGCGGCCUAUCAGCUUGUUGGUGGGGUGAUGGCCUACCAAGGCGACGACGGGUAGCCGGCCUGAGAGGGUGACCGGCCACACUGGGACUGAGAUACGGCCCAGACUCCUACGGGAGGCAGCAGUGGGGAAUAUUGCACAAUGGGCGCAAGCCUGAUGCAGCGACGCCGCGUGAGGGAUGACGGCCUUCGGGUUGUAAACCUCUUUCAGCACCGACGAAGCGCAAGUGGCGGUAGGUGCAGAAGAAGGACCGGCCAACUACGUGCCAGCCGCCGCAGUAA